Molecule: long non-coding RNA, 356 nt
Filed under: Gallus gallus (chicken)
Lineage: Eukaryota; Metazoa; Chordata; Aves; Galliformes; Phasianidae
Source: RNAcentral
GCCCAUCUCACCUUUGGCACCUGGAAAUCCAGGUAUUCCAUCCCGGCCAGGUGGUCCGGGUGAACCCUGAGGGCCUGGGAGGCCAGGGGGUCCUGGAUAUCCUGGGGUUCCUUGGUCACCUGGAGGACCAGGAACAUCGAAGCCUGGAGGACCUGGAUCCCCUUUCUCCCCUGGUACGCCCUGCAACCCUGGUGGGCCAACAGGACCUGGUGGUCCUGGAGGUCCAGGUGGCCCUUGGCCUCCAAUGCCGGGGAUGCCUGGUGGGCCUGGAAGUCCUGGUGGUCCGCUUGGUCCAGGGUCACCUUUGGGUCCUGGAGUUCCAUCAAAACCCGCCCGUCCUGGAAGACCAGGGUUUC